CCUACGGGUGGCUGCAGUGGGGAAUAUUGGACAAUGGGCGAAAGCCUGAUCCAGCCAUGCCGCGUGUGUGAAGAAGGCCUUCGGGUUGUAAAGCACUUUCAGUGGGGAAGAAAGCCUUGGGGCUAAUACCCUCGAGGAAGGACAUCACCCACAGAAGAAGCACCGGCUAACUCCGUGCCAGCAGCCGCGGUAAUACGGAGGGUGCGAGCGUUAAUCGGAAUUACUGGGCGUAAAGCGCGCGUAGGCGGUCUGAUAAGCCGGUUGUGAAAGCCCCGGGCUCAACCUGGGAACGGCAUCCGGAACUGUCAGGCUAGAGUGCAGGAGAGGAAGGUAGAAUUCCCGGUGUAGCGGUGAAAUGCGUAGAGAUCGGGAGGAAUACCAGUGGCGAAGGCGGUCUUCUGGACUGACACUGAUGCUGAGGUGCGAAAGCGUGGGUAGCAAACAGGAUUAGAUACCCCAGUAGUC
Molecule: ribosomal RNA, 465 nt
Filed under: Vreelandella stevensii
Lineage: Bacteria; Pseudomonadati; Pseudomonadota; Gammaproteobacteria; Oceanospirillales; Halomonadaceae
Description: partial 16S ribosomal RNA
Rfam family: Bacterial small subunit ribosomal RNA
Source: RNAcentral